RNAcentral lists this ribosomal RNA (443 nucleotides) under uncultured bacterium. RNAcentral describes it as "partial 16S ribosomal RNA". It matches the Rfam family "Bacterial small subunit ribosomal RNA", at positions 338 to 795 of the family's 1533-position model. The record is from RNAcentral.
CCUACGGGCGGCAGCAGUGAGGAAUAUUGGUCAAUGGGCGUAAGCCUGAACCAGCCAAGUCGCGUGAGGGAUGAAGGUCUUCGGAUUGUAAAGUUCUGUGAUGGGGGAUGAACACAAUGACGGUACCCCAAUAGCAAGCCACGGCUAACUACGUGCCAGCAGCCGCGGUAAUACGUAGGUGGCAAGCGUUAUCCGGAAUGACUGGGCGUAAAGGGUGCGUAGGUGGUUUAGUAAGUUGGCGGUGUAAUUCCGGGGCUCAACCUCGGCGCUACCGCCAAAACUAUUAGACUAGAGUGCAGGAGGGGUAAGUGGAAUUCCUAGUGUAGCGGUGGAAUGCGUAGAUAUUAGGAGGAACAUCAGGGGCGAAGGCGACUUACUGGACUGUAACUGACACUGAGGCACGAAAGCGUGGGGAGCAAACAGGAUUAGAUACCCUUGUAGUC